UACUGACUGACCGAUAGUGAACCAGUACCGUGAGGGAAAGGCGAAAAGAACCCCGGAGAGGGGAGUGAAAUAGAACCUGAAACCGUAUGCGUACAAGCAGUGGGAGCCUACUUGUUAGGUGACUGCGUACCUUUUGUAUAAUGGGUCAGCGACUUAUAUUCAGUGGCAAGCUUAACCGUAUAGGGUAGGCGUAGCGAAAGCGAGUCUUAAUAGGGCGUUUAGUCGCUGGGUAUAGACCCGAAACCGGGCGAUCUAUCCAUGAGCAGGUUGAAGGUUAGGUAACACUGACUGGAGGACCGAACCCACUCCCGUUGAAAAGGUAGGGGAUGACUUGUGGAUCGGAGUGAAAGGCUAAUCAAGCUCGGAGAUAGCUGGUUCUCCUCGAAAGCUAUUUAGGUAGCGCCUCAUGUAUCACUCUGGGGGGUAGAGCACUGUUUCGGCUAGGGGGUCAUCCCGACUUACCAAACCGAUGCAAACUCCGAAUACCCAGAAGUGCCGAGCAUGGGAGACACACGGCGGGUGCUAACGUCCGUCGUGAAAAGGGAAACAACCCAGACCGCCAGCUAAGGUCCCAAAGUUGUGGUUAAGUGGUAAACGAUGUGGGAAGGCUUAGACAGCUAGGAGGUUGGCUUAGAAGCAGCCAUCCUUUAAAGAAAGCGUAAUAGCUCACUAGUCGAGUCGGCCUGCGCGGAAGAUGUAACGGGGCUCAAACCACACACCGAAGCUGCGGGUGUCACGUAAGUGACGCGGUAGAGGAGCGUUCUGUAAGCCUGUGAAGGUGAGUUGAGAAGCUUGCUGGAGGUAUCAGAAGUGCGAAUGCUGACAUGAGUAACGACAAUGGGUGUGAAAAACACCCACGCCGAAAGACCAAGGGUUCCUGCGCAACGUUAAUCGACGCAGGGUUAGUCGGUUCCUAAGGCGAGGCUGAAAAGCGUAGUCGAUGGGAAACAGGUUAAUAUUCCUGUACUUCUGGUUACUGCGAUGGAGGGACGGAGAAGGCUAGGCCAGCUUGGCGUUGGUUGUCCAAGUUUAAGGUGGUAGGCUGAAAUCUUAGGUAAAUCCGGGGUUUCAAGGCCGAGAGCUGAUGACGAGUCGUCUUUUAGAUGACGAAGUGGUUGAUGCCAUGCUUCCAAGAAAAGCUUCUAAGCUUCAGGUAACCAGGAACCGUACCCCAAACCGACACAGGUGGUCGGGUAGAGAAUACCAAGGCGCUUGAGAGAACUCGGGUGAAGGAACUAGGCAAAAUGGCACCGUAACUUCGGGAGAAGGUGCGCCGGCUAGGGUGAAGGAUUUACUCCGUAAGCUCUGGCUGGUCGAAGAUACCAGGCCGCUGCGACUGUUUAUUAAAAACACAGCACUCUGCAAACACGAAAGUGGACGUAUAGGGUGUGACGCCUGCCCGGUGCCGGAAGGUUAAUUGAUGGGGUUAGCGCAAGCGAAGCUCUUGAUCGAAGCCCCGGUAAACGGCGGCCGUAACUAUAACGGUCCUAAGGUAGCGAAAUUCCUUGUCGGGUAAGUUCCGACCUGCACGAAUGGCGUAACGAUGGCGGCGCUGUCUCCACCCGAGACUCAGUGAAAUUGAAAUCGCUGUGAAGAUGCAGUGUAUCCGCGGCUAGACGGGAAGACCCCGUGAACCUUUACUGUAGCUUUGCACUGGACUUUGAGCCUGCUUGUGUAGGAUAGGUGGGAGGCUUUGAAGCGUGGACGCCAGUUCGCGUGGAGCCAUCCUUGAAAUACCACCCUGGCAUGCUUGAGGUUCUAACUCUGGUCCGUAAUCCGGAUCGAGGACAGUGUAUGGUGGGCAGUUUGACUGGGGCGGUCUCCUCCUAAAGAGUAACGGAGGAGUACGAAGGUGCGCUCAGACCGGUCGGAAAUCGGUCGCAGAGUAUAAAGGCAAAAGCGCGCUUGACUGCGAGACAGACACGUCGAGCAGGUACGAAAGUAGGUCUUAGUGAUCCGGUGGUUCUGUAUGGAAGGGCCAUCGCUCAACGGAUAAAAGGUACUCCGGGGAUAACAGGCUGAUACCGCCCAAGAGUUCAUAUCGACGGCGGUGUUUGGCACCUCGAUGUCGGCUCAUCACAUCCUGGGGCUGAAGCCGGUCCCAAGGGUAUGGCUGUUCGCCAUUUAAAGUGGUACGCGAGCUGGGUUUAGAACGUCGUGAGACAGUUCGGUCCCUAUCUGCCGUGGACGUUUGAGAUUUGAGAGGGGCUGCUCCUAGUACGAGAGGACCGGAGUGGACGAACCUCUGGUGUUCCGGUUGUCACGCCAGUGGCAUUGCCGGGUAGCUAUGUUCGGAAAAGAUAACCGCUGAAAGCAUCUAAGCGGGAAACUUGCCUCAAGAUGAGAUCUCACUGGGAACUUGAUUCCCCUGAAGGGCCGUCGAAGACUACGACGUUGAUAGGCUGGGUGUGUAAGCGUUGUGAGGCGUUGAGCUAACCAGUACUAAUUGCCCGUGAGGCUUGACCAU
Molecule: ribosomal RNA, 2467 nt
Filed under: Pseudomonas aeruginosa
Lineage: Bacteria; Pseudomonadati; Pseudomonadota; Gammaproteobacteria; Pseudomonadales; Pseudomonadaceae
Description: partial 23S ribosomal RNA
Rfam family: Bacterial large subunit ribosomal RNA
Source: RNAcentral